AAGUUUGAUCCUGGCUCAGGAUGAACGCUGGCGGCGUGCCUAAUACAUGCAAGUCGAACGCAUAUCUUCGGAUAUGAGUGGCGAACGGGUGAGUAAUACAUAAGUAACCUGGCCUUAAGAGGGGGAUAACUAUUAGAAAUGAUAGCUAAGACCGCAUAGGUAUGAAGAUCGCAUGAUCUACAUAUUAAAUAUCCCACGGGAUAGCUGAAGGAUGGACUUAUGGCGCAUUAGCUAGUUGGUAGGGUAACGGCCUACCAAGGCGACGAUGCGUAGCCGACCUGAGAGGGUGGACGGCCACACUGGGACUGAGACACGGCCCAGACUCCUACGGGAGGCAGCAGUAGGGAAUUUUCGGCAAUGGGGGAAACCCUGACCGAGCAACGCCGCGUGAGGGAGGAAGUAUUUCGGUAUGUAAACCUCUGUUAUAAAGGAAGAACGAUACAUGUAGGGAAUGACAUGCAAGUGACGGUACUUUAUGAGGAAGCCACGGCUAACUACGUG
Molecule: ribosomal RNA, 501 nt
Filed under: uncultured Coprobacillus sp.
Lineage: Bacteria; Bacillati; Bacillota; Erysipelotrichia; Erysipelotrichales; Coprobacillaceae
Description: bacterial SSU rRNA
Rfam family: Bacterial small subunit ribosomal RNA
Source: RNAcentral